Molecule: RNA transcript, 4155 nt
Organism: Rosa rugosa (rugosa rose)
Lineage: Eukaryota; Viridiplantae; Streptophyta; Magnoliopsida; Rosales; Rosaceae
Exons: 12
Source: RefSeq, a predicted model, not a curated record
GGAGCUGGCCCGCAUUUUUUUUUGUCAAAAAUUGAACUUCCCCCCUCUUUUUUCCACAAACUUUUUUAGUUAACCGCUCCCCCACUUUCUCUUGCUGCAUCUGUACCUCGUCAAAUGAACCGAACCAAACCAAACCAAAUUAGAGCUCAGAUUCUUUAGCUCUGGGUAAAUCAAAUUCACUCACCGCGGAUGGAUUUAGGGAUUAUCUUGUCGAACCCGAUUCAACGGACGAGCUGGUGUCGGCCUCGUCCAAGCAAAGCAUUUGAUCGAAGCAGCAAUAUCACCAUAUUCCCCUCCACCUCUGUCGCUCAAUCUGAUGAAUAUGAUUGCAGGUUCUCAAAAUAUGGGGGGAGAGGUGGUAAAGAUUGACAUUCAAGAUUGUGGUUUCAUAUCAUAGUUCCUUUGAUGGGUGGCAAAAGCAAUAGGAUCUCUACACUGUCCAAAGUGUUGUUGAACAAUCUCUGGGGAAAUUUGUUGAUGAGAAUAAAGCCUAGAUGUUGAAGACAAAGGAUUACCUUUGGAAAGGGCUGCUACUGUACGGAUAAAGGAGUGACAACCCUUAAUCAAGUUUGUUCUUUCUUUUCAGACCUUACAAGCUAAGGGUUGUUGAUGCGCUUCGUCAGGCACUUAACUUAUACCAGGAGCUUCUUCCUCCCAAGCACGAUGAUUAUCAUAUGAUGCUGAGGUCUAUUCCUCUUCUUUUUCCCCAAGUAGUUUGUUUAUUAUUGGAGUGGAUUGGAUUUUAUGUUGUGGUGGUGCAGGAACAAAGUGGAUGUUAGAGAACUUGCAAUUCAAUUUGGGUGUGUUCAGAUCAUUCUCUUUGUUCCAAAGGGUUUAUUCCUAUUCACACCUUCAGACAUUUCCUCCAUCUAAGGACUGAGGCACAAGGGAAGAUCUCUAGUGGUGCUCACCCUCCUCAUGAAGCAGAUGGUAGCUGAUCAGUUCUAUUACAUUCUACAUAAGCACUGCAGAAAAGUAGAAGUUAAACUUGUAAAAUGCAUUGUUCAAAGUAUGAUUGUAGAUAUAUCCUUCAAUCAGUUAGGAGGACUUUGUACACUACGCUUUCUUGAACAGGUUGAUCACUAUAUUGGCAAAGAUCAUAUUUUCAAACGCAGCAUUAUUUUGAUAAAAGUGUUGUGCUACUAUGAGAGUCGUAUUCUUGGUGCUCAUCAUGGUUUAUUUUCAACAUAUGCUUUGGGAACAUUAGUCCUAUAUAUAUUCCAUCUUUUUCAUUCUUCUCUAGAUGGGCCUUUAACGGUCCUCUACAGAUUUUUGGAUUACUUCAGCAAAUUUGAUUGGGAGAAAUAUUCUCUGAAGUACCAGAUAAUGGAGGGGAUGAUGUACUGCGAAGUGAAGAGUUUAUUAGAAACUGUGUAGACAUGUUCUCUACUCCAACAAUUAAUGAUAUUGAUGAAUCUGAUGAUGAAAGGUUGUGAUUGAAGAUUUUGGGAAUCAGAUUAAGCAACUAUAAACCUACAAGGUGCAGUAGAUUGAAUUACUUGACUAGAAUUGUUGAAUUGUAAUUUGUUACACUUUAGAAUUUUUUUUUGUAGAUGUAUGGAUAUGAUAUUCUGGUUAAGUUAAUAAUGCAUUUGGUGGUGUAUUUUGAGCUGUGUAUAAUUGGAGGAAGAUUUCUUUUAUUAAUUUUUUUUUUUGGAUUCUUUACAAGUUUUAAGGACACUUUUUUAACGUCCUCUAUUACCUUUAUUAAGUGUCCUGUUUUAGUUUUUAAGGACACAUGAGUAUUUUUUUUGUGUCCUCUCAAGGAUUUAAGGACAAUUUCUAGAGCUUUUAGGACACAGUUUGUGUGUCCUAGUAUAGAAAAGAGGACACAAUUUCUAGAGCUUUUAGGACACAGUUUAGGUGUCCUCUUAUGGAUUUAAGGACACCAUGUCCAGGGCUAUUAGGACACAUAAACUGUGUCCUCGUAUAGAUAAGAGGACACAUUUUCAGUGUCCUUGUUUGGGACUUACGAUGACACCCGGAUAGAGGACUCUUUUUUAAAGAGUCCUUGUAUGUAUUUAAGGACACGGUUUCAGUGUCCUUAAAUACAUGUUAUUGUAGUAGUGCAUGUUCAAUCAUAUUGAUGACAAUUCAGUUUUUGGUUUUCCAUAUUAUCAAUUGAGUGUUUGUUUCACCGUGUCUACAAGAUGAAUCUUUACUUGUUUGUUUAGGUGCACAACUAAAUGAAUAGGUUAGGGUUCUAAUGCUAGGAGUAACACUAGAUUCGUAUAUGUCGUGUGUUGAUUCCAAUUGAGUAGCAAAAUGUUUUCUUGAAUUACAUGUGACUCAAACCCUAGGUUUAGCAAGACUACAAUGUACUUGUGACCCUAGAUUUAUCCAAACCCUUUUAUUGCUUAAUGAUUUUGAUAUGUUUUAACUUAGCGAGCUUGUGUCUAGGUUGCAUAAUCGGAAAUAGAUUAAGUGGUGAGCUUGUAUUCACUUAAUGAGGAACUAAGAAAGAGUAAUGGGUUAAUUCGAGCUUGUAAGUUAACUUCGGAUAAAUUCAAUUGAGAAAUAAGAUUCCAUAACUAAGCUUUAAUAUGAUUGAGUGUGUUUGGUGGUGGAGAAUGAGUUCUUAGCUUUGUUUCUAUCAAUAGUUUAAAGUUAUAAAAUCUGUUUCUGCUUUGUUAUCUUACUGUGUUUAGUUUUACGUAAAUUAUUUCAUAUAUCAAAUCAACUCCGAUUGUUCUGAAAUUUUGUAUGUGUGUUAUUCAAUGUGUCUUUAGUGUCCUGUAAAAUGUACAGAAAAUUACAUAGAGUCUAAUUUAGUUAAUUAAUUUAUUUUCUUUAACUGUUCAGUAGCAUGGUUUAGAGUAGUUUGUGACAUUUGUUUAGCAGUUUAGGAACAAUCUUCAGCGGGUAAUGACCCUUGCUUGAUCACUAUAUUACUAACGAUGAUAUUUGAGUGCAAGGUUUAAGUUGUGCAUCUUUUAGAUGUAUCAGUUAAGAAAAGUGCUGAGCAAGGGCAGAUGGUAAGUUUUUCUUGUAGUAUAUGCUAGUUGCUAUUCUGCUUUAUUUACAUGCAAGAGAAAUUUAGUGAUAGAUUAUUAGACCGGGGUAGAUAAGACUGCAUAAUAUAAGGGUUAAAUAAGGGGACAUGCAUUACUUGAUUCUUUUCAUUGUAAACACACCAAGUUGCUCGUUUUGGCUAAGGAUUUGCAAACUUUUCCUUAUAGAAAUCUCUAUUCUUGCAUUAAUGCCCCCCCCCCCCCCCCCCCUUUUAUUUUCUUUUAAUUUUUUUCAAAUUCUAUCUUUGCUCUAUUAUGUUUUGGCUGAUCCAGUAGCCAAAUCCAAUUAAGUUACUCCAAAUGGAGUACUCAAAGAGACUAAACAUAAAUCUGAACAUGUAGCUACCUAUAGCAGCACAUAUUUUCUUAUGCCUAGUUGAGUUGUUAAAUUUGGGUGAUAGUCAAAAUUUGCCUUCAUACCAGUUAUAUUUGCUUAGUCAUCAUGAGCUAAAUACGGAAUUCACUUAAUUAGUGUUUCUAUGUGGUGUGCAAAAAAGCAAUGUAUUUAUAGAAUUAUGCUAGUGAUGUCAUGUAUGUUUGGUGCCAAUGACAAUGUUGUAUGCCUUUUACUGUCACAUUUAUGAUCUGUCUUUUGGUAAAUGACUUUAGUUUAAGCAUGCCUCUUUUGUGGUUAUACAGAACACCCAAUUAGCCAUAUUUGAAGCAUCAAAGUUGGAGUGCCUUAAGUAGGUCUCUCUGACAUUCCUUUCAUCAUUAAUUGUGUAUGCUAUAUAUGAUGUUGGAUAUACCCUACAUGAGUUUAUGAUUUGGAGCAAGUCCUUAACUUAAUUGUGUGAUAUACAUAUUGCUGACUAUUGAUCAGAUCUAUUUCUUUCAAGCCAUGACUUCCCGGUCUAACAACAUAGCCAAAGCUAAAGCAAUAACACUAAUGAUGAAGGCACUGCAAAUGAAAAGAGGUGAAAAAAUAGUGUCGAAACCAGUUGUUGAAGAGACUGAUGCACCACCUAAAUCUGCCUUUACCAAACAUGAUCAAUAGUAUGAGAUAUCAGUGUUUUUUGGGUUCCAUUUGUUGAUCAUGCCAACUGCUAUAGGUUAUUGAACUGAUGUUUACUAAGUUUAGCUCCAUUAUGGAUGUAUGUAUAGCUGCAGUAACAGAUUAAUCAAAUAUUGGUAUUUUUAUGAA